CACUUCCUCUCACUUCUCCUCUUUGUUUCUUUGUCUCUUUUCUCCCCUUCUUCACCAUAUUUUCUCUGCCACAAAUACACUUUCCACCGACACCACCAAUGUCUUUAUCUUCGUCGACCCUCCUUAUCACCAACCAUUCAGCCACUGAAUCUCAACAUCAAUUUUCAUGCCUUAGAUCUGAGUUCCUUCGCUAGAUAUGACCAUCUCUCCCAUUCAUACUCCCAAAUCUAUUCUUCUUGAACCUUCAAGGAAAUCUGAAGAGAUUUUAAAAGUGGGUGGUAUUGGUUCUGAAGUUGAUGAAACAGCGGUGGAAGCUUUGGCCAAGAUGAAGCGUCUCUUGUUCUUAAAGAGACUAAUAGCAAGAUCUAUCAAGACUGCUAAAGAUUAUGCUUGGUGGUGUGAAUUUUAAUGAGAUCUUAUGAAAAAUGAAAGAUUUGUAUAUAGAGAAAAAUCCCGUUGAUACCUAUUUUCAGGAAGGAUCUUAUUUAACAGUGACAACAUAACUUUGAUGAACAUGGAAAGUGAUGUUUGUCUCAUCAAGAUAUGCUCUGGCGAAGUUAUUUCUGACCACAAAUGGGAAAGUGUUGAUAAAGUAAGAAGAUUUAUGUUGAAUGAAGAUGGAGAAUUUGAAGUAAGAAGACAUGUGUUGAGUGAACCCUACAUUUCUCUAUCCGACGUUAUUAAAACUCAUUAUUCUUGUAGUGAGUAGUAGGUCAUCUGCCAUAAAAUAUCUUUUCAAAUAUAUCACAAAAGGAGUAGACAUGGAGACAAUGAAGAUAGAGAAACAACAAGCAUUGGAUCAAAAUAAAGGAGAUAGGGAAUCAGAAGAAGAGAUCAAUGAGAUAAAAAAAACUAUUUGGAGUGUCGUUAGCUCUCUGCAUGCAAAGCUACUUGGCGAAUUUUUGCGUUCAAAAUACAUGAACGAAAACCGGCAGUAACAAAACUACAGUUACACCUUCCAGGCCAGCAGAGAAUCGUUUACCCUGAAGGAAUCAGUCUAGAAUACAUUAUGUCAAAAUAUGGCAUCGAGAAAACAAUGCUUACGGAAUACUUUCAGAUGAACUUACUUUAUCUAGAAGCAAGAGAACUUACAUAUAUUCAGUUCCCUACAAAAUAAAAUACGUGUGGGAUUCAGAUGGGAAAACAUGGUCAGAAAGGAAGAAAGGAUUCAGCAUAGGAAGAAUAGUAAAUAUUCAUCCAACAGCAGGAGACUUGUAUUACUUGAGAAUGCUGCUAAUGAAAGUAAAAAGGUCGACAAGCUUUGAUGAUUUACUAACCGUUGAUAAUGUAAAACACAAAUUAUUCAAAGCGGCAUGUUAUGCAAAU
Long non-coding RNA from Camelina sativa (false flax), 1326 nucleotides. RefSeq lists it as uncharacterized. NCBI's taxonomy places the organism in Eukaryota, Viridiplantae, Streptophyta, Magnoliopsida, Brassicales, Brassicaceae. The record is from RefSeq and is a predicted model, not a curated record.